Molecule: long non-coding RNA, 151 nt
Organism: Gadus macrocephalus (Pacific cod)
Lineage: Eukaryota; Metazoa; Chordata; Actinopteri; Gadiformes; Gadidae
Exons: 2
Source: RefSeq, a predicted model, not a curated record
UGCGCGUGUGUGUGUGUGUGUGUGUGUGGUGGGGAGUGAUGCGUGUGUGUGUGUGUGUGUGUGGGGGGAUGCUGCGCGUGUGUGAGGGGUGAAAGGUUUAUACAGGGGAGAGGAGGACCAGAGGCCUGGGGGAAGAUAAGGGACUCAUGGA